RNAcentral lists this ribosomal RNA (468 nucleotides) under uncultured bacterium. RNAcentral's name for it is "partial 16S ribosomal RNA". It matches the Rfam family "Bacterial small subunit ribosomal RNA", at positions 28 to 507 of the family's 1533-position model. The record is from RNAcentral.
GACGAACGCUGGCGGCGUGCUUAACACAUGCAAGUCGAACGGAAAGACCCUGCUUUUGUGGGGUGCUCGAGUGGCGAACGGGUGAGUAACACGUGAGUAACCUGCCCUUGACUUUGGGAUAACUUCAGGAAACUGGGGCUAAUACCGGAUAGGAGCUCCUGCUGCAUGGUGGGGGUUGGAAAGUUUCGGCGGUUGGGGAUGGACUCGCGGCUUACCAGCUUGUUGGUGGGGUAGUGGCUUACCAAGGCUUUGACGGGUAGCCGGCCUGAGAGGGUGACCGGCGACAUUGGGACUGAGAUACGGCCCAGACUCCUACGGGAGGCAGCAGUGGGGAAUAUUGCACAAUGGGCGGAAGCCUGAUGCAGCAACGCCGCGUGCGGGAUGACGGCCUUCGGGUUGUAAACCGCUUUCGCCUGUGACGAAGCGUGAGUGACGGUAAUGGGUAAAGAAGCACCGGCUAACUACGUG